RNAcentral lists this ribosomal RNA (292 nucleotides) under uncultured bacterium. RNAcentral's name for it is "partial 16S ribosomal RNA". It matches the Rfam family "Bacterial small subunit ribosomal RNA", at positions 505 to 796 of the family's 1533-position model. The record is from RNAcentral.
GUGCCAGCAGCCGCGGUAAUACGAAGGGGGCUAGCGUUGCUCGGAAUCACUGGGCGUAAAGGGUGCGUAGGCGGGUUUUUAAGUCAGGGGUGAAAUCCUGGAGCUCAACUCCAGAACUGCCCUUGAUACUGAAGAUCUUGAGUCCGGGAGAGGUGAGUGGAACUGCGAGUGUAGAGGUGAAAUUCGUAGAUAUUCGCAAGAACACCAGUGGCGAAGGCGGCUCACUGGCCCGGUACUGACGCUGAGGCACGAAAGCGUGGGGAGCAAACAGGAUUAGAUACCCUGGUAGUCC